Lycium ferocissimum is the source of this 329-nucleotide long non-coding RNA. RefSeq lists it as uncharacterized. The record is from RefSeq and is a predicted model, not a curated record. The transcript is spliced from 2 exons. Lineage: Eukaryota; Viridiplantae; Streptophyta; Magnoliopsida; Solanales; Solanaceae.
ACCACCGUCGGACCGCUGGAUUAAAGUGGUCAUCGAUGCCACUGUCCUCAUCAGUCGCCUUUUCUCCCAUCACCCAUCUCCCUUUUUCUGAAAAAUGGAGCUCGACAACUCAUAAAAGGUCGAUUGAGACCUCUGAGAACGGGGAAGAGCGAAGAUCCAUCAGCCCAUCUCUCAAUCCGAUGGAUACAAACCAGAGCCAGCAAUAUUGUUACCCCAAACGGCUCUUUCUCCUUCAAAUCACCUCUGAAAAGUUCUUGGCUGAGCAAGGACCACUUCGAGCGGAUUCGAAGACUCGACGACGAUAAUAGCCUCAGUUCGCUGUCCCGAAA